UCAGUUGGUAGAGCAUAACCUUGCCAAGGUUGGGGUCGCGAGUUCGAGUCUCGUUUCCCGCUCCA
Molecule: transfer RNA, 65 nt
Filed under: Acinetobacter sp. 1295259
Lineage: Bacteria; Pseudomonadati; Pseudomonadota; Gammaproteobacteria; Moraxellales; Moraxellaceae
Also listed under: 3 other names
Description: partial tRNA-Gly
Rfam family: tRNA
About the family: Transfer RNA (tRNA) molecules are approximately 80 nucleotides in length. Their secondary structure includes four short double-helical elements and three loops (D, anti-codon, and T loops).
Source: RNAcentral